GCCGGGGUGGCGGAAUUGGUAGACGCAGUGGCCUUAGGAGCCACCGUCCUUUGGACGUGCAGGUUCGAGUCCUGUCCCCGGUACCA
RNAcentral lists this transfer RNA (86 nucleotides) under Spirochaetaceae bacterium. RNAcentral's name for it is "tRNA-Leu". It matches the Rfam family "tRNA". Rfam says of the family: Transfer RNA (tRNA) molecules are approximately 80 nucleotides in length. The record is from RNAcentral. RNAcentral also lists the same sequence under 2 other names. Lineage: Bacteria; Pseudomonadati; Spirochaetota; Spirochaetia; Spirochaetales; Spirochaetaceae.